RNAcentral lists this ribosomal RNA (217 nucleotides) under uncultured bacterium. RNAcentral describes it as "partial 16S ribosomal RNA". It matches the Rfam family "Bacterial small subunit ribosomal RNA", at positions 1284 to 1500 of the family's 1533-position model. The record is from RNAcentral.
GUUCUCAGUUCGGACUGUAGGCUGCAACUCGCCUACACGAAGUCGGAAUCGCUAGUAAUCGCGGAUCAGCAUGCCGCGGUGAAUACGUUCCCGGGCCUUGUACACACCGCCGUCACACCAUGGGAGUUUGUAACGCCCAAAGUCGGUGGCCUAACCUUUAUGGAGGGAGCCGCCUAAGGCGGGACAGAUGACUGGGGUGAAGUCGUAACAAGGUACC